RNAcentral lists this ribosomal RNA (530 nucleotides) under Annachlamys kuhnholtzi. Its description in RNAcentral is "partial 16S ribosomal RNA". It matches the Rfam family "Bacterial large subunit ribosomal RNA", at positions 1858 to 2607 of the family's 2925-position model. Lineage: Eukaryota; Metazoa; Mollusca; Bivalvia; Pectinida; Pectinidae. The record is from RNAcentral.
CCUUCCGGUGAGCCUUCGGGUUUAAACGGACGCGGUAAAUCGUGCUAAGGUAGCUAAAUUAUGGCCUAUUAAUUGUAGGUCCUGUGAAUGGUUUGACGAGUCUUCAACUGUCUCUAGUUUGUUUUGGUGAAAUUGAAUUGGAUGUGCAAAUGCUUCCAUGGAUGAGAAAGACGAGAAGACCCCGUGAAGUUAGAAAUUAAAGCCACAGACGUUAAUCCCUUAAGCUUGCUGGCUGACUUGGUGGUGCCUUUGGCUUAAUACAAGUGGGGGGGGGUGGUGGUAGUUUUGGCUGGGGCAGCAAAGGAGCAAGACUAGACUCCUAUUUUAUGAAAGGCAGUUGUGCUACGACCCACAGUGGUGUUGUUGUGUGAUUAGCAGAAGAAGUUACUCCGGGGAUAACAGCGUUAUCCGUCUUGAUAGUUCUUAUAGAUGGGCGGGUUUGCGACCUCGAUGUUGGCUCUGGAUAUCCUUAGGCUUGCAGGCGGUCUUUAGGGUUGGUUCGUUCGCCCAUGAAAAUCCGACGUGAUCUG